GAUGUACGCUGGCGGCGUGCCUAAUACAUGCAAGUCGAGCGAACAGACGAGGAGCUUGCUCCUCUGACGUUAGCGGCGGAAGGGUGAGUAACACGUGGAUAACCUACCUAUAAGACUGGGAUAACUUCGGGAAACCGGAGCUAAUACCGGAUAAUAUAUUGAACCGCAUGGUUCAAUAGUGAAAGACGGUUUUGCUGUCACUUAUAGAUGGAUCCGCGCCGCAUUAGCUAGUUGGUAAGGUAACGGCUUACCAAGGCAACGAUGCGUAGCCGACCUGAGAGGGUGAUCGGCCACACUGGAACUGAGACACGGUCCAGACUCCUACGGGAGGCAGCAGUAGGGAAUCUUCCGCAAUGGGCGAAAGCCUGACGGAGCAACGCCGCGUGAGUGAUGAAGGUCUUCGGAUCGUAAAACUCUGUUAUUAGGGAAGAACAAAUGUGUAAGUAACUAUGCACGUCUUGACGGUACCUAAUCAGAAAGCCACGGCUAACUACGUG
Molecule: ribosomal RNA, 497 nt
Filed under: uncultured bacterium
Lineage: Bacteria
Description: partial 16S ribosomal RNA
Rfam family: Bacterial small subunit ribosomal RNA
Source: RNAcentral